This 506-nucleotide ribosomal RNA is filed under the name uncultured bacterium. RNAcentral's name for it is "partial 16S ribosomal RNA". It matches the Rfam family "Bacterial small subunit ribosomal RNA", at positions 28 to 523 of the family's 1533-position model. The record is from RNAcentral.
GAUGAACGCUAGCGGCAGGCCUAACACAUGCAAGUCGAGGGGUAACUAGAGUGAUAGCAAUAUUACUUUGGCUAGACCGGCGCACGGGUGCGUAACACGUAUGCAACCUACCUUAUACUGGGGAAUAACUUCGAGAAAUCGGCGCUAAUACCCCAUAACACUGCGGAGAGGCAUCUCUUUGCAGUUAAAGCUCCGGCGGUAUAAGAUGGGCAUGCGUCCAAUUAGCUAGUUGUUGAGGUAACGGCUCACCAAGGCUACGAUUGGUAGGGGUUCUGAGAGAAUGAUCCCCCACACUGGUACGGGGACACGGACCAGACUCCUACGGGAUGCAGCAGUGAGGAAUAUUGCGCAAUGGACGAAAGUCUGACGCAGCCAUGCCGCGUGCAGGAUGACGGCCCUAUGGGUUGUAAACUGCUUUUGUACGGGAAUAAACCCUUCUACGUGUAGGAGGCUGAAGGUACCGUAAGAAUAAGCACCGGCUAACUCCGUGCCAGCAGCCGCCGUAA